GAUGAACGCUGGCGGCGUGCCUAAUACAUGCAAGUCGAGCGAACGGACGAGAAGCUUGCUUUUCUGAUGUUAGCGGCGGACGGGUGAGUAACAAGUGGAUAACCUACCUAUAAGACUGGGAUAACUUCGGGAAACCGGAGCUAAUACCGGAUAAUAUUUUGAACCGCAUGGUUCAAAAGUGAAAGACGGUCUUGCUGUCACUUAUAGAUGGAUCCGCGCUGCAUUAGCUAGUUGGUAAGGUAACGGCUUACCAAGGCAACGAUGCAUAGCCGACCUGAGAGGGUGAUCGGCCACACUGGAACUGAGACACGGUCCAGACUCCUACGGGAGGCAGCAGUAGGGAAUCUUCCGCAAUGGGCGAAAGCCUGACGGAGCAACGCCGCGUGAGUGAUGAAGGUCUUCGGAUCGUAAAACUCUGUUAUUAGGGAAGAACAUAUGUGUAAGUAACUGUGCACAUCUUGACGGUACCUAAUCAGAAAGCCACGGCUAACUACGUG
This 497-nucleotide ribosomal RNA is filed under the name uncultured bacterium. RNAcentral's name for it is "partial 16S ribosomal RNA". It matches the Rfam family "Bacterial small subunit ribosomal RNA", at positions 28 to 507 of the family's 1533-position model. The record is from RNAcentral.